This 478-nucleotide ribosomal RNA is filed under the name uncultured bacterium. Its description in RNAcentral is "partial 16S ribosomal RNA". It matches the Rfam family "Bacterial small subunit ribosomal RNA", at positions 28 to 523 of the family's 1533-position model. The record is from RNAcentral.
GACGAACGCUGGCGGCGUGCUUAACACAUGCAAGUCGAACGGUAAGGCCCUUCGGGGUACACGAGUGGCGAACGGGUGAGUAACACGUGGGUGAUCCGCCCUGCACUUCGGGAUAAGCCUGGGAAACUGGGUCUAAUACCGGAUAGGACCACUGCCUGCAUGGGUGGCGGUGGAAAGCUUUUGCGGUGUGGGAUGGGCCCGCGGCCUAUCAGCUUGUUGGUGGGGUGAUGGCAUACCAAGGUGAAGACGGGUAGCCGGCCUGAGAGGGUGACCGGCCACACUGGGACUGAGAUACGGCCCAGACUCCUACGGGAGGCAGCAGUGGGGAAUAUUGCACAAUGGGCGCAAGCCUGAUGCAGCGACGCCGCGUGAGGGAUGACGGCCUUCGGGUUGUAAACCUCUUUCAGCACCGACGAAGCGCAAGUGACGGUAGGUGCAGAAGAAGGACCGGCCAACUACGUGCCAGCCGCCGCCGUAA